RNAcentral lists this long non-coding RNA (776 nucleotides) under Olea europaea (common olive). RNAcentral describes it as "long non-coding RNA (OEUR_LNC004612)". Lineage: Eukaryota; Viridiplantae; Streptophyta; Magnoliopsida; Lamiales; Oleaceae. The record is from RNAcentral.
UAAAUAUACACAUAAAUAUUCGCUACCAGUUUCAGUUGUUGCCUGGGGAUGAGCAAAAACCAAAUUUAAUAAGACAAUAACCAUAGCCCACUCCCGCUUCCAAGAAUUCUGAGCAUAAAUCGUCUUGUUUGUUCUACCUCGGUAAUUAUUGCCCUUUUCUUCUGUUUUUUUUAUCUGGGGAUCAAAUUAUUUCGUACUUUUUUGUACUAAAUUUGUUUUUUUUUCCCGUGCGGGAAAAAGAGGGUGUAAUAUUAAUUUUUUCCGAUCACAAUAUUGAAGUCAUUUAUAAAUUUUAUAUUAGAAAAAUGAAAAUAAAAAACAUUAGAAAACAAAUCUAGCACAUUGUAACCCAUAAAGAAAUAUAAUAAUAAUAAUAAAAAAAGCAACAAAAAAAAAGGAAUAAAAAAAAAAAAAAAAAGCUAUAGUGGAUAAAGAUUGGCUUGUUGCUGACAUGUGGAAAGAUUUUGCAUUUUUCCAUUAUCUAUAAAAAAUAAAUAUACACAUAAAUAUUAGCUACCAGUUUCAGUUGUUGCCUGGGGAUGAGCAAAAACCAAAUUCAAUGAGACAAUAACCAUAGCCCACUGCCGCUUCCAAGAAUUCUGAGCAUAAAUCGUCUCGUUUGUUCUACCUCGGUAAUUAUUGCCCUUUUCUUCUGUUUUUUUUAUCUGGGGAUCAAAUUAUUUCGUACUUUUUUGUACUAAAUUUGUUUUUUUUUCCCGUGCGGGAAAAAGAGGUGAACAGUAGAUGGCGAGUCAAUCUGAUUCUCCGCCAAAUCC